This is a long non-coding RNA of Portunus trituberculatus (swimming crab), 1971 nucleotides long. RefSeq lists it as uncharacterized. The record is from RefSeq and is a predicted model, not a curated record. The transcript is spliced from 2 exons. NCBI's taxonomy places the organism in Eukaryota, Metazoa, Arthropoda, Malacostraca, Decapoda, Portunidae.
GAGAGAAAGGGAAAAGAGAGAAAGGGGAAUGUGAAAAGUAAAGAAAGAAGAAAAAGAAAGACAGGAAUAAAUAAAGAAGACAAGAAAUUAGGAAAAAUAAAGAAGGGAAGAGGGAAAACAAGAGACAGGGUGGGAGUCUAUUUAGGAAGGGAUACAAGGUAAAAAGAGAAGGAAAAAAGACAGACAAAGGGAAGGAAAGAUGUAAAGAAAGGAAGAGAGAAGUAUGAAAUUAUACAUCAGGAAGACAAAAGUCGAGAGGAAAUGGAAUAAGGAACAAGAUGGAAGAGAGAGAGAGAGAGAGAGAGAGAGAGAGAGAGAGAGAGAGAGAGAGAGAGAGAGAGAGAGAGAGAGAGAGAGAGAGAGAGAGAGAGAGAGAGAGAGAGAGAGAGAGAGAGAGAGAGAGAGAGAGGGAGGAGGGGAGGCGGAGGAGGAAGGCACUCACCACUCUGUCCCUCUAGCCACUCACCACCACCACCACCCCCAUCACCGUCACCACCACCACAACCACCACCACCAUCACCUCCACUAGAUUUAAACCUAACAAUAAUAAUGAUACUAAUAAAUCCGAUAUAUUUUCUGAUGUUGUGGUCAAAUGUACGUAGAAUCUAUCCGUGUGUACUGAUUUACUACUAUACAUAAUCCUACAUAAUACAAUACAUAUAUAUUAUUACAACGUACUUAGAGAGGUGUUUAAUAUAUUGUGUAUGUGUGUAAAUAUACGUAACUUUCAUAGCUGUGUGUGUGUGUGUGUGUGUGUGUGUGUGUGUGUGUGUGUGUGUGUGUGUGUGUGUGUGUGUGUGUUUGGUGUUGGUAUAGUUAAGGCGAUAAACCAACAACAGCUCAGAGUAACAUUAUCAUCCUUAGUGUUCUUGUUACUUUCUUUCUUUCUUUUUCUUUUUUUUUUUUCGUUUCCUUGGCUGACUGCUCAGUGAAGGGAGCAAGGCAGGGUUGGGAACACUGAUUCUGCUGAUACUACUGAUCUUACUGCUACUUCUACUACUACUACUACUACUACUACUACUACUACGAAACCACCAUCACCACCACCACCAAGCCACCUCCACAACAAAUAAGAAAUAUAGUAACAAUAAAAACACCAUCACAACGAGAACGACCACCACCACCACCACCACCACCACCUAUAAAUGCCGCCACGCUCCCAACUCCCAUCACAAGGCAGAUGAGGCGGCGUGCAUCCUUCCGGCCAUAUUCAGAAACGCUUCACUCUCUCACCACGACAAUUUUUCAAGUCCCCUUAGACGACUAGCUGAGUUUUCAAGACAGUUUCUCCUUAUGAUAAACUAGAAAUCUUGUUAAUCCAUCACCAGAACCAUAAAAAUACCCUUAAAAUUAUGAACAUCUUCAACGAGAGCCUUUGAAAAUAGUCAACGUGUGAGAACAAAACGUUUAUGAAUACUGAUGCUGCAGUCCCCCGAGCCACGCACACCUCAACCUCUUCAUUGAGUUCACCACCUCGGGAUGAACGCGCGUGUGAUCGUUGUUUACAAGUCCGGCAGAAGGAACACCACUGAGUCUGCCAAAGUGGAAGGACGAGAAGUGUGCAUUUUUUCUUUCUUUUUUCUCAGGGAGGGUUUGAUAAGUGAGUUUCCGGGUCAGAGGUGGUACAAAAGGCCGAUAUUCCGAAACACUUCCGCGUCUCACAAUACCUUCACUAUUUUUCAAAGAGGUGUAGUUGAAGUGACACGGGUUUUUAAGGAUGUUUCUGUAAUUCUAGUGACAUGUUGAUAAGUUUUCUGGAUUAUCAGCAGGGAAAUUACUCUAUAGAACCCGGUUAAUUGUCUCUGUAAUCUUUCAAAAUGGUCGUGAUGAGAGAGAGAGAGAGAGAGAGAGAGAGAGAGAGAGAGAGAGAGAGAGAGAGAGAGAGAGAGAGAGCGUUACUGAAUAUGGCGCUCUGUGGUGACUUGUCAAGGAAACGAGACCCAAAGGAAAGUCACAAUAUUUUCCAGCCAC